Molecule: ribosomal RNA, 500 nt
Filed under: uncultured bacterium
Lineage: Bacteria
Description: partial 16S ribosomal RNA
Rfam family: Bacterial small subunit ribosomal RNA
Source: RNAcentral
AUUGAACGCUGGCGGCAUGCCUUGCACAUGCAAGUCGAACGGUAACGGGUCCUUCGGGAUGCCGACGAGUGGCGAACGGGUGAGUAAUAUAUCGGAACGUGCCCAGUAGUAGGGGAUAACUGCUCGAAAGAGCAGCUAAUACCGCAUACGACCUGAGGGUGAAAGGGGGGGAUCGCAAGACCUCUCGCUAUUGGAGCGACCGAUAUCAGAUUAGCUAGUUGGUGGGGUAAAGGCCUACCAAGGCAACGAUCUGUAGUUGGUCUGAGAGGACGACCAGCCACACUGGGACUUAGACACGGCCCAGACUCCUACGGGAGGCAGCAGUGGGGAAUUUUGGACAAUGGGCGCAAGCCUGAUCCAGCAAUGCCGCGUGCAGGAAGAAGGCCUUCGGGUUGUAAACUGCUUUUGUCAGGGAAGAAAUCUUCUGGGCUGAUACCCCGGGAGGAUGACGGUACCUGAAGAAUAAGCACCGGCUAACUACGUGCCAGCCGCCGCGGUAA